This 62-nucleotide transfer RNA is filed under the name Sinocrepis fulva. RNAcentral's name for it is "tRNA-Thr". Lineage: Eukaryota; Metazoa; Arthropoda; Insecta; Coleoptera; Chrysomelidae. The record is from RNAcentral.
GUUUUAAUAAUUUAAAAAAAAUAUUGAUUUUGUAAAUCAAAUUUGAAGAAAUUCUUAAAACU